GACGAACGCUGGCGGCGUGCUUAACACAUGCAAGUCGAACGGAAAGGCCCUGCUUUUGUGGGGUGCUCGAGUGGCGAACGGGUGAGUAACACGUGAGUAACCUGCCCUUGACUUUGGGAUAACUUCAGGAAACUGGGGCUAAUACCGGAUAGGAGCUCCUGCUGCAUGGUGGGGGUUGGAAAGUUUCGGCGGUUGGGGAUGGACUCGCGGCUUAUCAGCUUGUUUGUGGGGUAGUGGCUUACCAAGGCUUUGACGGGUAGCCGGCCUGAGAGGGUGACCGGCCACAUUGGGACUGCGAUACGGCCCAGAAUCCUACGGGAGGCAGCAGUGGGGAAUAUUGCACAAUGGGCGGAAGCCUGAUGCAGCAACGCCGCGUGCGGGAUGACGGCCUUCGGGUUGUAAACCGCUUUCGCCUGUGACGAAGCGUGAGUGACGGUAAUGGGUAAAGAAGCACCGGCUAACUACGUG
This 468-nucleotide ribosomal RNA is filed under the name uncultured bacterium. Its description in RNAcentral is "partial 16S ribosomal RNA". It matches the Rfam family "Bacterial small subunit ribosomal RNA", at positions 28 to 507 of the family's 1533-position model. The record is from RNAcentral.